GUAACGGCGAGUGAAGAGGGAAGAGCCCAAGAUUGAAAGCUGGCGUCUUCGGCGUCCGCAUUGUAAUCUCAAGAAGUGUUUUCCGCUUCGGACCAUGCCUAAGUCCCUUGGAAAAGGGCAUCAUAGAGGGUGAUAAUCCCGUACAUGGCAUGGAGCGCCCGAGGCUUUGUGAUACGCUUUCUAAGAGUCGAGUUGUUUGGGAAUGCAGCUCAAAAUGGGUGGUAAAUGCCAUCUAAGGCUAAAUAUUGGGGAGAGACCGAUAGCGAACAAGUACAGUGAUGGAAAGAUGAAAAGAACUUUGAAAAGAGAGUUAAACAGUACGUGAAAUUGCCAAAAGGGAAGGGUAGGAGGUCAGAGAUGCGUCUUGGGAUUCAGCCUUGCUUUUGCUUGGUGUUUUUCCCAAGUUGCAGGCCAACGUCGGUUUUGGGCACUGGAGAAGGGUGGAAGGAACGUGGCACCUCUCGGGGUGUGUUAUAGCCUUCUACUGGAUACAGCGACCGAGACCGAGGACAGCAGCGUACUCGCAAGAGCGGGCCUUCGGGCACCUUUACGCUUAGGGCGUUGGCAUAAUGGCCCUCUACCACCCGUCUUGAAACACGGACCAA
RNAcentral lists this ribosomal RNA (605 nucleotides) under Anthracocystis elionuri. Its description in RNAcentral is "partial large subunit ribosomal RNA". It matches the Rfam family "Eukaryotic large subunit ribosomal RNA", at positions 83 to 669 of the family's 3401-position model. Lineage: Eukaryota; Fungi; Basidiomycota; Ustilaginomycetes; Ustilaginales; Ustilaginaceae. The record is from RNAcentral.